Molecule: ribosomal RNA, 253 nt
Filed under: uncultured bacterium
Lineage: Bacteria
Description: partial 16S ribosomal RNA
Rfam family: Bacterial small subunit ribosomal RNA
Source: RNAcentral
UACAGAGGUCUCAAGCGUUGUUCGGAUUCAUUGGGCGUAAAGGGGGCGUAGGCGGCGCGGUAAGUCGGGUGUGAAAUUUCGAGGCUUAACUUCGAAACUGCAUUCGAUACUGCCGUGCUAGAGGACUGGAGAGGAGACUGGAAUUUACGGUGUAGCGGUGAAAUGCGUAGAUAUCGUAAGGAAGACCAGUGGCGAAGGCGGGUCUCUGGACAGUUCCUGACGCUGAGGCACGAAGGCCAGGGGAGCAAACGGG